UACAUAACGUCAUACAUUUCGU
This 22-nucleotide small nuclear RNA is filed under the name Arabidopsis thaliana (thale cress). RNAcentral describes it as "snRNA_05733". Lineage: Eukaryota; Viridiplantae; Streptophyta; Magnoliopsida; Brassicales; Brassicaceae. The record is from RNAcentral.